AGGGGCAUAGCUCAGCUGGUAGAGCGGCGGUCUCCAAAACCGUAGGCCGGGAGUUCGAGUCUCUCUGCCCCUGC
This 74-nucleotide transfer RNA is filed under the name Armatimonadota bacterium. RNAcentral's name for it is "tRNA-Trp". It matches the Rfam family "tRNA". Rfam says of the family: Transfer RNA (tRNA) molecules are approximately 80 nucleotides in length. Their secondary structure includes four short double-helical elements and three loops (D, anti-codon, and T loops). Further hydrogen bonds mediate the characteristic L-shaped molecular structure. tRNAs have two regions of fundamental functional importance: the anti-codon, which is responsible for specific mRNA codon recognition, and the 3' end, to which the tRNAs corresponding amino acid is attached (by aminoacyl-tRNA synthetases). tRNAs cope with the degeneracy of the genetic code in two manners: having more than one tRNA (with a specific anti-codon) for a particular amino acid; and 'wobble' base-pairing, i.e. permitting non-standard base-pairing at the 3rd anti-codon position. Lineage: Bacteria; Bacillati; Armatimonadota. The record is from RNAcentral.